UUUAUGGAGAGUUUGAUCCUGGCUCAGGAUGAACGCUGGCGGCGUGCCUAAUACAUGCAAGUCGAGCGAACGGACGAGAAGCUUGCUUCUCUGAUGUUAGCGGCGGACGGGUGAGUAACACGUGGAUAACCUACCUAUAAGACUGGGAUAACUUCGGGAAACCGGAGCUAAUACCGGAUAAUAUUUUGAACCGCAUGGUUCAAAAGUGAAAGACGGUCUUGCUGUCACUUAUAGAUGGAUCCGCGCUGCAUUAGCUAGUUGGUAAGGUAACGGCUUACCAAGGCAACGAUGCAUAGCCGACCUGAGAGGGUGAUCGGCCACACUGGAACUGAGACACGGUCCAGACUCCUACGGGAGGCAGCAGUAGGGAAUCUUCCGCAAUGGGCGAAAGCCUGACGGAGCAACGCCGCGUGAGUGAUGAAG
Molecule: ribosomal RNA, 423 nt
Filed under: Staphylococcus aureus
Lineage: Bacteria; Bacillati; Bacillota; Bacilli; Caryophanales; Staphylococcaceae
Description: bacterial SSU rRNA
Rfam family: Bacterial small subunit ribosomal RNA
Source: RNAcentral